CGCCGAGUUGGGUUAGGCUGGAAGCCAAAAAUGUCAGGCUCAUAACCUGAAGGUCGCAGGUUCAAAUCCUGCCCCCGCAACCA
RNAcentral lists this transfer RNA (83 nucleotides) under Gammaproteobacteria bacterium. RNAcentral's name for it is "tRNA-Met". The stretch from base 11 to 72 matches the Rfam family "tRNA", at positions 9 to 63 of the family's 71-position model. Rfam says of the family: Transfer RNA (tRNA) molecules are approximately 80 nucleotides in length. Their secondary structure includes four short double-helical elements and three loops (D, anti-codon, and T loops). Lineage: Bacteria; Pseudomonadati; Pseudomonadota; Gammaproteobacteria. The record is from RNAcentral.